Molecule: ribosomal RNA, 465 nt
Filed under: uncultured bacterium
Lineage: Bacteria
Description: partial 16S ribosomal RNA
Rfam family: Bacterial small subunit ribosomal RNA
Source: RNAcentral
CUACGGGGUGCUGCAGUGGGGAAUAUUGGACAAUGGGGGAAACCCUGAUCCAGCAAUGCCGCGUGUGUGAAGAAGGCCUGCGGGUUGUAAAGCACUUUCGGUUGGGAGGACUGCUUCUAGCACUAAUAUUGUUGGAAGUUGACGUUACCUUCAGAAGAAGCACCGGCUAACUCCGUGCCAGCAGCCGCGGUAAUACGGAGGGUGCAUGCGUUAGUCGGAAUUACUGGGCGUAAAGCGCGCGUAGGCGGCUAGAUCAGUCGGGUGUGAAAGCCCCGGGCUUAACCUGGGAACUGCAUCCGAUACUGUCUAGCUUGAGUACAGGAGAGGAGAGUGGAAUUCCACAUGUAGCGGUGAAAUGCGUAGAUAUGUGGAGGAACACCAAUGGCGAAGGCAGCUCUCUGGCCUGAUACUGACGCUGAGGUGCGAAAGCGUGGGGAGCAAACAGGAUUAGAUACCCCGGUAGUC